This is a long non-coding RNA of Heterocephalus glaber (naked mole-rat), 1639 nucleotides long. The record is from Ensembl. Lineage: Eukaryota; Metazoa; Chordata; Mammalia; Rodentia; Bathyergidae.
UAAAAAUUGAAAAACUGUGUAUUUAAUUUUCAAGUACUUUGUCUUCCUUUAAAAAAUAAUUUACGAGACAUUGCCAUAUGGUCUAUAAUGAGUAAGUUUUUGUCAUCUUACUAUCUUGUAUAUGAGCCAAUCUUAGGGCUCAGGCAAGUUCUAGGCAUAUGUCCAGCUCAAACUGACACCUCAGUUUGAAAAAAGUUCUUUCUUAUCCCAGAUGACCUCCAUGUUAUUUUGAAAUCUUCCUCUGUAAAGCUAAUUAUCUAUUUUUAACUCUCUUUAAAAUUUACACGAAUUGUUGCUUGAAAUGUUCAACUUAUAUGUAAAAGAUUUUACCCAGGGAUUUGAAAAUGUUUUAAGUUUUAUUAGUCAUAGCAACAAACUUAGAAGCUGGUGUGUUUAUAAUAUAUUUAUCCAUAAUAACUCAGAAUUAACACAUACCUUUAAAAUAAUAGUGUGCAAUAAUAGCACAUUUUCCACAGCAAAAUCUCUCACUAUUUGUACCAUAAUCGGUAACCAUGUUAAUUUUUCUCUUAGUUAUCAGAAAAGAAAAUAGCUAGCAAGGGACAUACAAGGCAAAUGUGUUAACUGUGAAAAUUCUAAAGUUGGACCAAGUGGUGUCCACUCAUCUUAAGUAAUAAGCAAAUAAAAACAUAAAACAUGCUAUCCUACUAGAUCUACCAAGAAUCUCCAUCUUGACUGCAAGACAAUAAGCCCUGAAGAGAACCUCAACAAAUAACUGUGCCCUGACUGAAAAAAGAGUGAAGCACAAGGUGGAGGUGAAGUGAGAGAAAGCUGCCCAGUGGCCUUCUCUUCUGACUUCCCUUCCUCUUCCUACAUCAGAGAGAUGGGGGAGACUGACCAGAUGUAACUAAUCACUGAACUUCAGCGGGGUAAUUAAAACACAUUGCUGCUACUUCUGAACAGAAGCUUGACCAUGAUUUCACAAAGCAGACAAGUCAGCAACCUGAUCUUCUCCCACAGGAUGUGGAUGCUACCCAUUUUCACUUAGAGGGAUAAAUAUAAGCCCCUGUUUAUGAUAUGACAGGGCUAACAUCAUCACCACCUCAGAGCAAGAGAAAGUAAUGAAAUGCACAGAAAAGUGACACCAACUCACUGAGAUUUUUAUAUUAUAUUAAAAUUAUAAAUUUUAUAUAGUUUUAAGAUAUUUUCCAUUCUUGUUUACAUUAAUAUAAAUAUGAAUAAGUUUAUUAAGUAUAGAGUCAGAGUUAUCACCGAGCAUCACCACAGUUUAAGCUUUGUUGUAGAGUAAUCCAGAUUGCAGAAGGGUUUCUGCUCCUGUAAAUCAUCUGCUACCUCAUAAUGUGUUCACUUUUCUAAUAAAAGUAGUGAAAUCUUGGAGUUUGAACACAAAGAAUAACAUGAGGACUGAGCUUUUCAUUCACACUAACUUUGGUUUUGCCACAUGUCUCACAAUUCUACAAGCCAAAUGCUACUUUCUGGGUCAUGUAUUCUAUUCCAAAUUUUAGCCUCUACUUCUACUGAUUUUCAUACUGUAUGUAGCAUUAAGUUAAACAGAAUGUUGCAUAAUGCCCUUUAAUUUUCUUAAUGGUAGAAUACAUGUAAGUAUUAAGUAUCUUAAAAUGGACACAGAGUCCCUGAGACACAUAAGGAUUUCAACAAC